UGAAAAUGAAACCCUAGUGAAACAAUUCAUCUACAUUUCACAAAGUUAAAUUGUUGAAAAAGUAAUUUCUAGUAUAUUAAUCUAAGAAUAAGGGUCGACUCUCAGUAAUUUGAAGGUAUAGAUGACCAAGUACUCUAAUUGUUAAAAAGCCAAAUCGGUAUAUCUAAAGUUCCUAAAUCGGCUUUCUUCCUGGCCCAUGUCAUGACUAAUUUUUUAGUUCUGUUUCUUACUGUUUGGAUUACCUGGCAAAUGAGUGAUACUUAAAGGAAAAAGGAUCAGAAAUGCUGGGCAGUUUGGCUUGGAAACUAUUGCUGAUGUGUGCUGUGUUAGCCUAAAGAAUCGGAGAAAUAAAAAAAGCCUAGGAGAGACUAUUUAUCAUCCUAACCAGCUUCACAUUGCUCUGUUCACUCUCAUGCAGAGAAAAGAGUACGGGAACACCAAGAAAGGAAGAUUGAAGGGAGGAGGUCUUUUGUCAAUGAUACUUGUUUAAAUUCAACUUUAAAUUUGUAAUUAGGAAUUUAUCCUAAUUAUUUGUGCCAUAGAUAAUAC
This 549-nucleotide long non-coding RNA is filed under the name Felis catus (domestic cat). RNAcentral describes it as "lncRNA (ENSFCAG00000049332.1)". The record is from RNAcentral. Lineage: Eukaryota; Metazoa; Chordata; Mammalia; Carnivora; Felidae.